This 586-nucleotide ribosomal RNA is filed under the name Vibrio sp. N50XII. Its description in RNAcentral is "bacterial SSU rRNA". It matches the Rfam family "Bacterial small subunit ribosomal RNA", at positions 288 to 868 of the family's 1533-position model. Lineage: Bacteria; Pseudomonadati; Pseudomonadota; Gammaproteobacteria; Vibrionales; Vibrionaceae. The record is from RNAcentral.
UGGUCUGAGAGGAUGAUCAGCCCACACUGAACUGAGACACGGUCCAGACCUCUACGGGAGGCAGCAGUGGGGAAUAUUGCACAAUGGGCGAAAGCCUGAUGCAGCCAUGCCGCGUGUAUGAAGAAGGCUUCGGGUUGUAAAGUACUUUCAGUUGUGAGGAAGGGGGUAAAGUUAAUAGCGUUAUCUCUUGACGUUAGCAACAGAAGAAGCACCGGCUAACUCCGUGCCAGCAGCCGCGGUAAUACGGAGGGUGCGAGCGUUAAUCGGAAUUACUGGGCGUAAAGCGCAUGCAGGUGGUUCAUUAAGUCAGAUGUGAAAGCCCGGGGCUCAACCUCGGAACUGCAUUUGAAACUGGUGAACUAGAGUGCUGUAGAGGGGGGUAGAAUUUCAGGUGUAGCGGUGAAAUGCGUAGAGAUCUGAAGGAAUACCAGUGGCGAAGGCGGCCCCCUGGACAGANACUGACANUNAGAUGCGAAAGCGUGGGGAGCAAACAGGAUUAGAUACCCUGGUAGUCCACGCCGUAAACGAUGUCUACUUGGAGGUUGUGGCCUUGAGCCGUGGCUUUCGGAGUAACGCGUUAAGUAGA